UACGUAGGGUCCGAGCGUUGUCCGGAAUUACUGGGCGUAAAGAGCUCGUAGGUGGUUUGUCGCGUUGUUCGUGAAAACUCACAACUCAACUGUGGGCGUGCGGGCGAUACGGGCAGACUGGAGUACUGCAGGGGAGACUGGAAUUCCUGGUGUAGCGGUGGAAUGCGCAGAUAUCAGGAGGAACACCGGUGGCGAAGGCGGGUCUCUGGGCAGUAACUGACGCUGAGGAGCGAAAGCGUGGGGAGCGAACAGG
This 253-nucleotide ribosomal RNA is filed under the name uncultured bacterium. RNAcentral describes it as "partial 16S ribosomal RNA". It matches the Rfam family "Bacterial small subunit ribosomal RNA", at positions 524 to 776 of the family's 1533-position model. The record is from RNAcentral.